CAGCAGCCGCGGUAAAACGAAGGGUGCAAGCGUUAAUCGGAAUUACUGGGCGUAAAGCGUGCGUAGGCGGUGAGUUAAGUCUGCUGUGAAAUCCCCGGGCUCAACCUGGGAAUGGCAGUGGAUACUGGCUCGCUAGAGUGUGUCAGAGGAUGGUGGAAUUCUCGGUGUAGCGGUGAAAUGCGUAGAGAUCGGGAGGAACAUCAGUGGCGAAGGCGGCCAUCUGGGACAACACUGACGCUGAGGCACGAAAGCGUGGGGAGCAAACAGGAUUAGAUACCCCAGUAGUCCCUGUCUCUUAUAC
RNAcentral lists this ribosomal RNA (301 nucleotides) under uncultured bacterium. RNAcentral describes it as "partial 16S ribosomal RNA". It matches the Rfam family "Bacterial small subunit ribosomal RNA", at positions 509 to 807 of the family's 1533-position model. The record is from RNAcentral.